This 889-nucleotide ribosomal RNA is filed under the name uncultured archaeon. RNAcentral describes it as "bacterial SSU rRNA". It matches the Rfam family "Archaeal small subunit ribosomal RNA", at positions 5 to 879 of the family's 1478-position model. The record is from RNAcentral.
CGGUNGAUCCUGCNGGACCCGACUGCUAUUUGGGUGAGGAUAAGCCAUGCGAGUCGAAUGGGAUNNCUAANUUCCCCAUGGCGAACUGCUCAAUNACACAUGAUCAACUUACCCUAUAGAGAAAAAUAACCUCGGGAAACUGAGGAUAAUGUUUCAUAGUUGAAAAGGCUUGGAAAAGUUUUUCGACCAAAGGGAUAAGAAAAAUGGUUUUUAUCCGCUAUAGGAUAGGAUCGUGGUCGAUUAUGGUCGUUGGAGAGGUAAUGGCUCACCAAGCCGAUAAUCGAUAGGGGCCGUGAGAGCGGGAGCCCCGAGAUGGGUACUGAGACAGCGACCCAGGCCUUACGAGGCGCAGCAGGCGCGGAACCUCCGCAAUACACGAAAGUGUGACGGGGUUACCCAAAGUGUUCAAUCUUGAACUGUGGUAAGUGAGUAAUGUUCCCUACUAGAAAGGAAAGGGCAAGGCUGGUGCCAGCCGCCGCGGUAAAACCAGCUCUUCAAGUGGUCGGGAUAAUUAUUGGGCUUAAAGUGUCCGUAGCCGGUUUAGUAAGUUCCUGGUAAAAUCGGGUAGCUUAACUAUCUGCAUGCUAGGAAUACUGCUAUACUAGAGGACGGGAGAGGUCUGAGGUACUACAGGGGUAGGGGUGAAAUCUUAUAAUCCUUGUAGGACCACCAGUGGCGAAGGCGUCAGACUGGAACGUGCCUGACGGUGAGGGACGAAAGCCAGGGGAGCAAACCGGAUUAGAUACCCGGGUAGUCCUGGCCGUAAACGAUGCAUACUAGGUGAUGGCAUGGCCAUGAGCCGUGUCAGUGCCGUAGGGAAACCGUUAAGUGUGCCGCCUGGGAAGAACGGUCGCAAGGCUAAAACUUAAAGGAAUUGGCGGGGGAGCAC